GGGGAGACUGGAAUUCCUGGUGUAGCGGUGAAAUGCGCAGAUAUCAGGAGGAACACCGGUGGCGAAGGCGGGUCUCUGGGCAGUAACUGACGCUGAGGAGCGAAAGCGUGGGGAGCGAACAGGAUUAGAUACCCUGGUAGUCCACGCCGUAAACGUUGGGCGCUAGGUGUGGGGGCCAUCCCACGGUCUCCGUGCCGCAGCUAACGCAUUAAGCGCCCCGCCUGGGGAGUACGGCCGCAAGGCUAAAACUCAAAGGAAUUGACGGGGGCCCGCACAAGCGGCGGAGCAUGUUGCUUAAUUCGAUGCAACGCGAAGAACCUUACCCAGGCUUGACAUGCACGGAAAUCUGUCAGAGAUGGCAGGUCCUUUAAAGGGUCGUGCACAGGUGGUGCAUGGUUGUCGUCAGCUCGUGUCGUGAGAUGUUGGGUUAAGUCCCGCAACGAGCGCAACCCUCGUUCUAUGUUGCCAGCACGUCAUGGUGGGGACUCAUAGGAGACUGCCGGGGUCAACUCGGAGGAAGGUGGGGAUGACGUCAAAUCAUCAUGCCCCUUAUGUCUAGGGCUGCAAACAUGCUACAAUGGCCGGUACAAAGGGCUGCGAUACCGCGAGGUGGAGCGAAUCCCAAAAAGCCGGUCUCAGUUCGGAUUGGGGUCUGCAACUCGACCCCAUGAAGUUGGAGUCGCUAGUAAUCGCAGAUCAGCAACGCUGCGGUGAAUACGUUCCCGGGCCUUGUACACACCGCCCGUCACGUCACGAAAGUCGGUAGCGCCCGAAGCCGGUGGCCCAACCCUUGUGGAGGGAGCCGUCGAAGGCGGGAUCGGCGAUUGGGACG
RNAcentral lists this ribosomal RNA (832 nucleotides) under uncultured bacterium. RNAcentral's name for it is "bacterial SSU rRNA". It matches the Rfam family "Bacterial small subunit ribosomal RNA", at positions 654 to 1482 of the family's 1533-position model. The record is from RNAcentral.